RNAcentral lists this ribosomal RNA (401 nucleotides) under uncultured bacterium. RNAcentral's name for it is "bacterial SSU rRNA". It matches the Rfam family "Bacterial small subunit ribosomal RNA", at positions 29 to 416 of the family's 1533-position model. The record is from RNAcentral.
AGCGAACGCUGGCGGCGUGCCUAACACAUGCAAGUCGAACGUGAAAGGGAGCAAUCCUGAGUAAAGUGGCGUACGGGUGAGUAACGCGUAGGUAAUCUACCCCAGAAUCCGGAAUAACCGGCCGAAAGGCUGGCUAAUACUAGAUAGAGCGAUGAAAUCCGUAAUUGGGUUUUUCGGGAAAGGGAGGGAGUAAUCCCCCUCGUUUUGGGAUGAGCCUGCGUCUCAUUAGCUAGUUGGUGAGGUAAUGGCUCACCAAGGCUUUGAUGGGUAGCUGGUCUGAGAGGAUGAUCAGCCACACUGGAACUGAAACACGGUCCAGACUCCUACGGGAGGCAGCAGUGGGGAAUCUUGCGCAAUGGACGAAAGUCUGACGCAGCCACGCCGCGUGAGUGAAGAAGGCC